UACAGAGGUCUCAAGCGUUGUUCGGAUUCAUUGGGCGUAAAGGGGGCGUAGGUGGCGCCGUAAGUCGGGUGUGAAAUUUCGGAGCUUAACUCCGAAACUGCAUUCGAUACUGCGGUGCUUGAGGACUGGAGAGGAGACUGGAAUUCAUGGUGUAGCAGUGAAAUGCGUAGAGAUCAUGAGGAAGACCAGUGGCGAAGGCGGGUCUCUGGACAGUUCCUGACACUGAGACACGAAGGCCAGGGGAGCAAACGGG
RNAcentral lists this ribosomal RNA (253 nucleotides) under uncultured bacterium. RNAcentral's name for it is "partial 16S ribosomal RNA". It matches the Rfam family "Bacterial small subunit ribosomal RNA", at positions 524 to 776 of the family's 1533-position model. The record is from RNAcentral.